CCAUCGGUGGUUCAGUGGUAGAAUGUACGCGUGCGGCCCGGGUUCGAUUCCCGGCCGAUGCA
This 62-nucleotide transfer RNA is filed under the name Cordylochernes scorpioides. RNAcentral's name for it is "tRNA-OTHER". It matches the Rfam family "tRNA". Rfam says of the family: Transfer RNA (tRNA) molecules are approximately 80 nucleotides in length. Lineage: Eukaryota; Metazoa; Arthropoda; Arachnida; Pseudoscorpiones; Chernetidae. The record is from RNAcentral.